CGGAUCUUACCUGCGCAGAGCAAAAUCGGUUGUAGAUUAUAUCCACGAAAAUUCCUUCUAUUAAAAUGAAUUUCAAGUCCCACCUACCCUGGAAGCAGAAAGAGAGAGAAGAGAGAGAGUAAAGAGAAAGAGAAAAGAAAGAGAAGUUGAAAAAGAGAAAGAAAACCAAGAAAGAAAGAGAAAAAAACCGAAAAUAAAUGGACAAGAAAGAAAAUUCCCAAGAAUGAAUAUAGAAUGUGCUGGAAAAGCAACAUCCUGAGAGGAAGGGACCGGUGAGAAAAGGACAGGAUGUGUUCCAGAUCCCCAGAACAGGAUCCCCUUUGUUGCUUUAGGCCAACGUGCCAUGCAUCCCUGGAGCAUGAAACCCAGGAUGGGCCGCCUUCCAGCCUCCCGCAGCUGUGAUGCAAGUUGAACACAUACAGAGAGACUGCAUCUGCACUGGGUGGUUUUCCUGAGCCUUGGGGAGCAGAAUGCAUGAAUCCCAGGCGUCUGCCGAUCUGUAUGUAACAAAUUCACUUCAUGUAACUUACUGUGUGUCCGUGAGAUUAUCUCUCACUCAACUCAGACACAUUGGCAACCCGUGUGCAGUGAACCUGCUUCACAAGCAAGGAUGUGGAGAAACUAUUUUCGUACAUUUUGUGGGAAUCUGAAAUACUGCGGUCAGUGUGGAAAGCAGUAUCAUGGGAAACUUCCUCAACUCAAGAUCACCUACCAAUCCUUACAGAAUCAGAAUCAUCAUACAAACUGGUGAAAGCAUAGUUUCCCCUAGAGGUUGGGAUGAGGGCAAGAAUGUCCCCUCUUAUCACUACUAUUCCACACAAUAUGAAAGGUUCCAGCCAGUGAAAUAAAGGAAAAAGAAAUAAAA
Long non-coding RNA from Pan troglodytes (chimpanzee), 865 nucleotides. RefSeq lists it as uncharacterized. The transcript has 2 exons. The record is from RefSeq and is a predicted model, not a curated record. Lineage: Eukaryota; Metazoa; Chordata; Mammalia; Primates; Hominidae.